Molecule: ribosomal RNA, 310 nt
Filed under: uncultured Sphingomonadaceae bacterium
Lineage: Bacteria; Pseudomonadati; Pseudomonadota; Alphaproteobacteria; Sphingomonadales; Sphingomonadaceae
Description: bacterial SSU rRNA
Rfam family: Bacterial small subunit ribosomal RNA
Source: RNAcentral
UGGCUCAGAACGAACGCUGGCGGCAUGCCUAACACAUGCAAGUCGAACGAAGGCUUCGGCCUUAGUGGCGCACGGGUGCGUAACGCGUGGGAAUCUGCCCUCAGGUACGGAAUAACUCAGGGAAACUUGAGCUAAUACCGUAUAAUGACUUCGGUCCAAAGAUUUAUCGCCUGGGGAUGAGCCCGCGUCGGAUUAGCUAGUUGGUGGGGUAAAGGCUCACCAAGGCGACGAUCCGUAGCUGGUCUGAGAGGAUGAUCAGCCACACUGGGACUGAGACACGGCCCAGAGUCCUACGGGAGGCAGCAGUGGG